UACGGAGGGUGCAAGCGUUGUUCGGAAUCAUUGGGCGUAAAGAGCGUGUAGGCGGUUGGGUAAGUCAGAUGUGAAAUCCCUUGGCUUAACCAAGGAAGUGCAUUUGAAACUGCCCGGCUUGAGUACGGGAGGGGGAAGUGGAAUUCCCGGUGUAGAGGUGAAAUUCGUAGAUAUCGGGAGGAACACCGGUGGCGAAGGCGGCUUCCUGGACCGAUACUGACGCUGAGACGCGAAAGCGUGGGGAGCAAACAGG
RNAcentral lists this ribosomal RNA (253 nucleotides) under uncultured bacterium. RNAcentral describes it as "partial 16S ribosomal RNA". It matches the Rfam family "Bacterial small subunit ribosomal RNA", at positions 524 to 776 of the family's 1533-position model. The record is from RNAcentral.